GAUGAACGCUGGCGGCGUGCCUAAUACAUGCAAGUCGAGCGAACAGACGAGGAGCUUGCUCCUCUGACGUUAGCGGCGGACGGGUGAGUAACACGUGGAUAACCUACCUAUAAGACUGGGAUAACUUCGGGAAACCGGAGCUAAUACCGGAUAAUAUAUUGAACCGCAUUGUUCAAUAGUGAAAUACGGUUUUGCUGUCACUUAUAGAUGGAUCCGCGCCGCAUUAGCUAGUUGGUAAGGUAACGGCUUACCAAGGCAACGAUGCGUAGCCGACCUGAGAGGGUGAUCGGCCACACUGGAACUGAGACACGGUCCAGACUCCUACGGGAGGCAGCAGUAGGGAAUCUUCCGCAAUGGGCGAAAGCCUGACGGAGCAACGCCGAGUGAGUGAUGAAGGUCUUCGGAUCGUAAAACUCUGUUAUUAGGGAAGAACAAAUGUGUAAGUAACUAUGCACGUCUUGACGGUACCUAAUCAGAAAGCCACGGCUAACUACGUG
Molecule: ribosomal RNA, 497 nt
Filed under: uncultured bacterium
Lineage: Bacteria
Description: partial 16S ribosomal RNA
Rfam family: Bacterial small subunit ribosomal RNA
Source: RNAcentral